RNAcentral lists this ribosomal RNA (253 nucleotides) under uncultured bacterium. RNAcentral describes it as "partial 16S ribosomal RNA". It matches the Rfam family "Bacterial small subunit ribosomal RNA", at positions 524 to 776 of the family's 1533-position model. The record is from RNAcentral.
UACGGGGGGGGCAAGCGUUGUUCGGAAUUACUGGGCGUAAAGGGCGCGUAGGCGGUGCUCUAAGUUAGAUGUGAAAACUCUGGGCUCAACCCAGAGCCUGCAUCUAAAACUGGAGUGCUAGAGUUCUGGAGGGGGUAGCGGAAUUCCUGGUGUAGCGGUGAAAUGCGUAGAUAUCAGGAGGAAUACCGGUGGCGAAAGCGACUCUCUGGACGGCAACUGACGCUGAGGCACGAAAGCGUGGGGAGCAAACAGG